This is a long non-coding RNA of Cucumis sativus (cucumber), 1245 nucleotides long. RefSeq lists it as uncharacterized. NCBI's taxonomy places the organism in Eukaryota, Viridiplantae, Streptophyta, Magnoliopsida, Cucurbitales, Cucurbitaceae. The transcript is spliced from 3 exons. The record is from RefSeq and is a predicted model, not a curated record.
AAACGUUGAAGUCAAUCAAUGAGUUCCAAAUGCAAUAUUGGAAGUUUUCUUAAAUAUUUUGAUGCUUUUGCAUGUUGUGAAAGAACUUGGUUAGAUGUGAGAAAGGGGUUUAUGAGAUUAGUUACUUACUAUUCCCUUUUUCACUGUCAUUGCUACUCAGUAGAUAUGCUAUGGGCUCGUGUUUCUGUAGAAUAUAAUUCAGAUGCUCUUUCUCUAGAAUAUAAUUUAUAUGUUCUCUCUACAAAUUUGAAGUAAUUUCUACUGUUUUUGCUAAUAAUUUAUAUAUUAUAGAGUUAAAUUUAACACAGUUAAUCAUCUUAAGCAUUUGACUCUGGUGUUCUUAAGAUAUAAAUUCAAAUCCCUAUAAUUUUAUCAUCUUGAUCUUUUCAAUCGUCUCACAUACCGUCUUCAUUUCAUAAUCUUGCCUACUAGCUGCGUAUCAUCAAUGAAAUUACCAUAGGAGUCCACAUGUGGUAAUUAUGGAUCUAGCACGAUAUACUGCGUAUCAUGUUGUUGGAGAUCAUUUUAAAUGAUUAACCAGUCUAUUGGUGGUUUGAGUCUUUCCUUUUGAAUCUAUAGGUUGUUCAAUGGUCUAAUAUUAACUAUGUUUAGAUUUAUGGUAAUUUUCAUUCUUUUACAGCCUUAAUAACCAAGGAAAGGUGUGCUUUGAUAAUCUUUUCUUUCUCUUCAGCAGGUUGGUAAUGUAGAAAGGAUACAUGUAUACUAUGCCCACGGACUAGAUAGCCCAACCUUUGUUCGCCGGUGUUAUUGGCUCCUAGAUAAGACCUUUGAACACAUUGUCCUUGUUCAUUACCGUGAAACACAAGAGUUUCAGAAUUUUCCAUCCACAUCGUUGAACUCAAAUUCUGGUUCUGUCUCUAACCCAUCAACUCCGUGGCUUUUAUCGGAGGAACUUGAUUCCAAGGCUACUCAUGUUUAUUCUCUUGGUGAAAAUGAAUUGUCAGGUGAUACUGGCCGAACCUGUCAAAAAUAAAUGAGUCAUAGUUUGUUUGAUCAUUCAUUUUCUAAUCUUUCUUCUUUAUAUUUAAUUAGUUGUUUAAUUUCUUAAAAAAGAAUUCUGGUUUAUUUAUAGUAUAUUUGGUAGUAUGCAUGCCUCAGCUCCUUUAAUGCAUGUCUCUUACAGUAUAUUUGGUAGUCUUUUAUAAUGUUACACCCUUUUUUUUAAUUCCUAAAACCUUUUAACUUUCCAAAUUUUCAUUCAUUCUUUUAGAAAAUUAUUUUCAU